Long non-coding RNA from Hyla sarda, 1752 nucleotides. RefSeq lists it as uncharacterized. The transcript is spliced from 4 exons. The record is from RefSeq and is a predicted model, not a curated record. Lineage: Eukaryota; Metazoa; Chordata; Amphibia; Anura; Hylidae.
UUUUCCUGUUUGUGAAGGAUGAUUGACAGCGCCCCGGGAGAUGGCUCACGGCUCCAACAGAGGUGAAGCAACCCCGCCACCAACAAAGUGCCCUCUGUCACCACCGGGAGGGUGUUGUUAGCUACACACACAAACAGAGGUGCGGGGCGGAUGACUGGUCCAGAAAUCAUCCACACAUCUGUGGUGUCCCGGCACCAAUGGCUGUCCUGUGGCUUCGGACUGCUUCGGGCACACAGCAGCUCCAGUGUUGGGCCCGGUGAAGGUCUUCUUGCCACAUUAAUUACGUUUUGCACUUUAUUGUGAAUUAAUAUAUUUUUAUAUGUCUUUCGUUGCUGUUAUGCUUAUGUAUGUUGUGUUACUGUCAGUGUAAACCCCAUGUGACCCUGCCAGCCAAUUAGAACCCCUAAAUACUAGCCCAUAUCGAGUAGUGGAGUUGCCCCAGUUCAGUGCUAGUCAUGUGGAGAGCUCCAUUGUGGUAAAGGUGUAAGGUGAGUGGAGAAGCCACAAGGGAAGGUCCAGAUCGAAUCUACUUUACCUGGUCAUUCUGCAAGGAUCACCGCACGGUGGAAGUUCAUGUCCAGGCGAAGGAGGCUACAAGACUUUGACAGAACCCUAUUUACCAGGAUAAAUCUAUAAGUCUUUCAAGUCAGUAUCACUUCAUUUGGUGAAAGCACCACAAGUCCCAGUGAGGCAGCAGGGCUCCCAGGAGGUUACGCUUCAUCCUCUCCCUCUGCACCAGACUGUAUGUGUAAUACCAUCUGCACCUGCUCAGUAAAGACAGUUAUCCGUAACCUGGCGUCGGUGUGUUCAUUUACUCCCCGUGUCUGGCCCAGAAGAAGCCGUCUCCAACCUCGGACCAUGUAUAGGAUAACUGUGCCCUGGCGUCACAAAGUGAUAAGGAGACUCUCCACAUACCAGGGCACCAGCCGUAAUCCUAUGUUGUUAUUGGAAGCCCGAACAGAACAAAACAUUAUGUUUUACGACCUCUAAGAAAUGCGCAGCCAAAACCAAAAAAUAUUCAACGUUGACCAAAACAUCAUUGGAUUCUGAGCUGUGAUGCCGCACCAGCCCUAGACGGGUGAAGCCGCAGAAUCCUCUCACAUAUACAGAUGACCAAUAUAUUGACCUCAUAUGGAUCCUUCCCUGGAAACAGAUGCCCGGCGCCGUGGCAAAGGCUUUCACUAAAUGGCCUUUCCAGACGCACGAAUUGGCAGCGCCCGCCCGCAGGAAGCUCUGUCGCAAGAUCUCACAUCUCACUGCUGCCACCUGCUGGUUCCAAGCCUGUACAGGAAAAGGUCUGCUGUUAUGAGCUGAGACCCUCCUGGUAGGGAAGAGACAUGGGACACCAUCCGAUGACAUCAGACCCCAGGACCCUCUUUGAUUUUCUGCAGGUGAUGCGAUCACAUGUGCAGGCACUUGGCACGCUCGCAUCACAACAAUGCCGGUUGCUAGUUACGCCAGCAGAGCCCUGACAUCUGGCUUUCACGUGUUGAGACAACAUCUUCUCGGCCAAGUUUUUUUUUUUUUUUUACAAAUGGAAAAGUCAUAAACAUUUGGGAAGGACUAUAUCGCAGAGAUCAGGAGGAUGUAGCCUAUGCGUUGCCUUGGAAAUUCACAGCUUGAAAAUCCCAUAAGUUCCCGCCCAGAAAACAUACAGUUAGUGUAAACCAAAGUUGUUUUUCAAUUCCAGAAAGAGACAAAAAAAAAUAUUUUUUGUAUUUUUUUCUUCAUUAUUAAAGCGUACCUGUCAUA